Amphibalanus amphitrite is the source of this 1443-nucleotide long non-coding RNA. RefSeq lists it as uncharacterized. The transcript is spliced from 2 exons. NCBI's taxonomy places the organism in Eukaryota, Metazoa, Arthropoda, Thecostraca, Balanomorpha, Balanidae. The record is from RefSeq and is a predicted model, not a curated record.
UCCACUGUGCUGGUUGAAGUUGAAAGUGUUCUCAACUGCAGGCCAAUAACAUACUGCAGCGGUGACGCAAGAGAUCCCGAGCCUCUAACACCCAGUCACUUCUUGCUUGGCUCCGCAGAGUCGGUUUUACCUCCCGGCAUGUUCAAUGACUCGGAAUUACUGAGUAAGAAGAGGUGGCGACACGCUCAAGUCCUUGCGAACCAUUUCUGGCAAAGGUGGAGGAAGGAAUAUCUGCCUACACUGAUUCGCCGCGAAAAGUGGAACAGCGAAUCUGAGAACCUUCAAGAAGGGGACGUUAUCCUCAUGGUGGAUGAUCAAGCCCCACGGGGGUACUGGCCUCUGGCGACUGUCACACGCACCGUACCAGGCGAGGACGGCCGAGUCCGUUCGGUGGAAAUCAGAACUGGAAGCGGUCUGACGUACCACCGACCAGUCAACAAAGUGUGCUUCCUUGAAAGACUUGAGUAAUUUCCUGGCUUCAACGAUGCAUGACUGCCAAGAAAGCUAGUGGUUCUUCCUAACACCCUUUCACUAACAUGUACACGUAAGCGCUGAGAUAGGUAUGCUCACGUACCCAUUCCUCUGCAUAUACUUCCCAUAUAGCCUGUGCAGCCCACCAACUGAUCGAUCACCCAACUGCCCGCCCGGAGCACGCAUGGACCUGCAUGGGCGCGGCGACUGCGACGCAGCCAGCCGGCAGCUGGGACGGAGAGGCACGGCGCCGGCACCACGAGGGCUGCUCACGGGAGGACCUAGCAAGAUUGAGCCGGUGGAGGAGCUGACUGAAUGCCGCCGCUGGUACCUGCUAGCAGCCGGCGAUGACUGCUACGGACUGUUAUGGACAGUUAUCACUGGAUGUGGCCCCUCAUCGCCACCGAAGUCCGACUGGGCUGCUGCCGCUCACUUAGGGAGGGGUUCCCUCUGUUCCCGUUCGGCUGUUAUCGACUGCAGCAGUCGGAUGCCGGACAUGCUUGGACAUGCCGGACAUGAACAUAGAACACUGGUGGAUAAGCACUACAGAGUGACAUGUGUUAACGAUUGGACAAUGCAUGGUUUAAGUGGCAUAUCGCGUUCCUGCGCAUACAGAACUCUGGUGGGGGAGGGUGUCGUAACUACGAGUGUUUUGACGCGGAGGCAUGCUUGCUAACGCGCGAGAAUAGCUUUGAAAUUUUACUGACAACGUUUUUAUAUGUUCAUGAUAAAAAUCAGCACGGCUUGGAAAGAAUGUAGGCAAAUGUUUCAGUUUAUACUGCAUUUACAAUGAUGUAAUUUAAGUUGAUAGUGGCGAGAAAUUGAAGAUGUAAUUUAAGUUGAGAGUGGCGAGAAAAUGAAUGGAAUAAGUUGUAUAGCCGAAACGAUCGAUCGAUGUCACCGAACCGAAACGUCACCGAUAUGAACCGAGGUCAACGUUUGAAACCGCUAAAUACAUCGUGGAUCAGGGCU